This 253-nucleotide ribosomal RNA is filed under the name uncultured bacterium. RNAcentral's name for it is "partial 16S ribosomal RNA". It matches the Rfam family "Bacterial small subunit ribosomal RNA", at positions 524 to 776 of the family's 1533-position model. The record is from RNAcentral.
UACAGAGGGUGCGAGCGUUAAUCGGAAUUACUGGGCGUAAAGCGUGCGUAGGUGGAUUGGUAAGUAAGGAGUGAAAUCCCAGGGCUUAACCCUGGAACUGCUCUUUAGACUGCCUGUCUGGAAUUCGGAAGAGGUUGGUGGAACUCCCAGUGUAGAGGUGAAAUUCGCAGAUAUUGGGAAGAACACCGGUGGCGAAGGCGACCAACUGGUCCGACAUUGACACUGAGGCACGAAAGCGUGGGUAGCAAACAGG